RNAcentral lists this long non-coding RNA (3073 nucleotides) under Zea mays. RNAcentral describes it as "long non-coding RNA (ZMAY_LNC002921)". The record is from RNAcentral. Lineage: Eukaryota; Viridiplantae; Streptophyta; Magnoliopsida; Poales; Poaceae.
UUGACGACGCUAGUGUACUGUGUACCCGUCAUCGCCAUUCCUCCAUUCGUGAUCCUGUCCAGGUAAGUCCAGCACCUUUCCGCAUCUCUUCCUAAACAAUCUUGGAUUGCCUCGAACGCGGGCUGGAAGGAGGUGGCGGGGGUGGGUUCGGUGGCAACUGCGGUGGGAGCAUGGAUGGAGGUAGAGGCGGCUUUGGGCAGGCGCAGGCUGACCGACGACGCGGCAGGAGUCUGUCUUACAUGCCACCGAGCAUCUUGCCCAACCUAGGGUUUGGCUGCUUGAGUGAGGAGAGAUGCGGUUUGGGGAAGAAGACCGAGGCCCGAUUUGAUUCAGGCCUCUAUCACUCCAUGUGAUUUCUCCUCUAUUGUCGCCAUACUCGAGUCGACGCGCUAGCAACUGCGCCUCGUCGGGUCACUAUCCAGUCCAUUCCACCACUUCACAUGCGAACAAGAGCAAAGCCCGAAAUCCUUCUCCGUUUCUCCCCCUGCACGCAUGCACCUGCUCUCUCGCGUGUCUCUUGUGUCCUUACUGUCUAAGUGUCUAGUGGCGACGACUGCCACUGCCACUGCCACUGCCGCCGCCGCCCGCGAGGGGCCAUGCCCCUCAUCUCCACCUUUGAGCGCUUCGCCCAGGUAUGUCUGCCCCGCAGUUGUCGUGCUUCACACAGCUCAGUCCACCGUCUUGAAACCUUGUAAAAUCUGCAUUGUGGAGAAAUUCCAUUCCCUCUGGACUUGGAUUGGAUUGCAUGCAUACAACGGAUCAAUUCAAUAGCGCGUCUAUUGUCCUAGCCAGCAAAUCAACACUUAUUUGUGUAGUCCAGGGAAUUGCAGUCGUGCCUGCCAUGACUGCUACUCAUGAAAACGUAGCUUUAAUCUCUUCAUUUCUUUCUUUCUUCAAACGACAUAAAGCGGCUUACUUCCAUUAUUCUUCUGGAAAACGCAUUACUGCACACACUAUAAAUUAGUAUGCAUUUGGUAAGAAAUGCAAAUAUCUGCUUUGACACAAAACAAGGCAUCAAUUGCUUUAGGUUCAGUUCUUAAAACCGGAGAAGAUGGGUUUCCUCCGGACUGGUGCGUUGUUCACUUGUCAUCUGCCAUUCCCGUUGAGGCAAACUGUCAUACAAAAAAAUCCAAAAAGGCCAUUGUUUCUUGUAUUUCUUACAAUUACGAAGACAUCGAUGCCUUCCUUUGGGAAUUGUAGUAAUAAUCUAUUUGAGCUUCAAAACAAAAAUAGUGGCCUAGUAACUAAGGCAUGGGCGCAUGGCAAUUUAAGUCAAAGGUGUGUUGGUCAUAUGCAGACUAAGGCUGUCUCCAGCAACGUCCCCUAAAUUCCAUCCUCUAAAAGAAUAUUCUCUGUCCUUUACAGCACACUCUAAAAGAUUCCGUCCUCUAUAUCUUAUCAGUCUCCAGCAACGUCCUCUAAAUUUGGUCCUCUAUAUCUACAAUGCUACCAGAUUUCAUUAUUUAUAUUGUUUUUACCUAUCGCUUUUAUAAAAAGAAUAUUUUUUGUACAUCACAAAAUUGAAAUACUUAUUACAAUAUAUUUUCAUUUUAUGGAGAAAUUACUCAUCAUUCAUAUAUAGCAAAACAAUGUAUCACAAAUUUGUAUUAUAUAUUUUCCUUCUUGUAUACGCAAACAAAAAACCGUUAGUCUCUACCAAAAUUAAAAAAGUUUGACUAAGCUAUUCGCAACUGCAUUAUGCAACAAUCCAGCAUCGGACACCAUUUUUUUAACACAAUAUGCAUGCAUGCAACGUGGGUAAGUCAAUCAACAUUGGUCGUCACGUACACAAGUGUCAGGUUGUAGCGCUUUGAUUGCGGGAUAGAGGACGAACAGUGUUUCUCUACAUAUAGCGGCUGAAGCAGAGACUCUAAAUUUUAGAGUGUCUUUUAGGGUUCCUUGUUGGGUGGAUAAAGGAGCACAAUAUCCUCUAAAUUUAGAGUACAGGUUGUUUUACAGUUCGUUGCUGGAGAGAGUCUAAGUAAGCGCACACUUUGUCUUUUUGACGUAUUAAUUUUCCUCCUAUCCUAUUCAUAUAGGACCUACAAAUUUUAGCCACCUGCUUGUUUUUUUCCAUGGAGGAUUUUCUCAAGAGUACAUCAAUUUUUUGCUAAUAUUUCCAACAUAUCAAUUUGGUAAUAAUGAUUUUACACAUAUAUACCAGUUCACUGAAUAUAUGCACUACACUUGAAAUAUAUCAGGUCACUGAAUAUAUGCACUGAAAUAUCAAUUCAUUGAAUAUAUGUGCUACACUUCAAAUAUAGUUCACUGAAUAUAUACACUACAUUUUAAUACAAUUUUUUAAGCCUUGCUGUGUUCUAAUGUCAUCACAAUCGGACUUGUGAAAUGUUUCCGUUUUCUGUUUGGUGGAAAGGGGGCCAUCACAUUGCCAUUACUAAAUUGAACAUAAAAAAUCAACAAGAAUGACUAAGAUUUUAGAUUGUUACAAGACCAGCUACCCUUUUUGAUGUACAACAUCCCAUCACUUAAAACAACACAUUAGACAUAUUUGUUGUGGCAGCAGCAACUGAGACUCUGGUUGUAACCUGGUAUGAUACUAGUGGCAAUUGUUCUAGAUAUGUUGCUGAUAUAAGUACAAGAAAGCAUCAGUUGUACAACCAACCAACCAACCAACUAAACCACUUAGAAACAUGGUGAAAUAACAGCCAACUAAGCAUCACUUGUUUUACUAAUAGCUAUGCUAUAACAUUGUUUUAAUAACACCUAUACUACUAACAUUGUUUUUACUAACACCUAUGCAUUCCUUUGUGCAAAAUAAUAUUUUUUCUUCUAUAUCUGGGUUUAUUGCAAGUGCUAGUAGUUUUUUGGGUAACCAUGUAAAUUAAAUCGUGUGUCGAUUGGUGUUACUUGAAGAGUGCUAGGUGGAAGCAACACAUGAAGUUGACAUGGAGAAGAAAAAUGCAAUGACAGUCCACAUGAAGGUUGUGAAAAAGGAGUUAAACUCAUAAUUCAUUCUAGUGCCAAAGUUCCUAACAAAGAGACUCUUUGUACUCCAUAUAUUUGUACAUGUGAAUGAAGAUGAGCUUAUGUGAUUUGAUGAUGGAUGAAUUAA